CUACGGGUCGCAGCAGUCGAGAAUUUUUCACAAUGGGGGAAACCCUGAUGGAGCGACGCCGCGUGGAGGAUGACGGUUUUCGGAUUGUAAACUCCUGUCAUUAGAGAACAAGGCACACGGUUUAACUGGCCGUGUGUUGAUAGUAUCUGAAGAGGAAGAGACGGCUAACUCUGUGCCAGCAGCCGCGGUAAUACAGAGGUCUCAAGCGUUGUUCGGAUUCAUUGGGCGUAAAGGGUGCGUAGGUGGCGAUGUAAGUCGGAUGUGAAAUCUCCAAGCUUAACUUGGAAACUGCAUUCGAUACUGCGUUGCUCGAGGACUGUAGAGGGCAUUGGAAUUCACGGUGUAGCAGUGAAAUGCGUAGAUAUCGUGAGGAAGACCAGUGGCGAAGGCGAAUGCCUAGGCAGUUCCUGACACUGAGGCACGAAGGCCAGGGGAGCAAACGGGAUUAGAUACCCUAGUAGUC
This 463-nucleotide ribosomal RNA is filed under the name uncultured bacterium. RNAcentral's name for it is "partial 16S ribosomal RNA". It matches the Rfam family "Bacterial small subunit ribosomal RNA", at positions 339 to 795 of the family's 1533-position model. The record is from RNAcentral.